This 253-nucleotide ribosomal RNA is filed under the name uncultured bacterium. RNAcentral's name for it is "partial 16S ribosomal RNA". It matches the Rfam family "Bacterial small subunit ribosomal RNA", at positions 524 to 776 of the family's 1533-position model. The record is from RNAcentral.
UACGUAGGGGGCUAGCGUUGUCCGGAAUCAUUGGGCGUAAAGCGCGUGUAGGCGGUUCGGUAAGUCCGCUGUGAAAGUCGGGGGCUCAACCCUCGGAUGCCGGUGGAUACUGUCGGACUAGAGUACGGAAGAGGCGAGUGGAAUUCCUGGUGUAGCGGUGAAAUGCGCAGAUAUCAGGAGGAACACCGAUUGCGAAGGCAGCUCGCUGGGACGUUACUGACGCUGAGACGCGAAAGCCAGGGGAGCAAACGGG